CCUACGGGGGGCUGCAGUGGGGAAUAUUGCACAAUGGGCGCAAGCCUGAUGCAGCCAUGCCGCGUGUGUGAAGAAGGCCUUCGGGUUGUAAAGCACUUUCAGCGGGGAGGAAGGCGUUAAGGUUAAUAACCUUGGCGAUUGACGUUACCCGCAGAAGAAGCACCGGCUAACUCCGUGCCAGCAGCCGCGGUAAUACGGAGGGUGCAAGCGUUAAUCGGAAUUACUGGGCGUAAAGCGCACGCAGGCGGUCUGUCAAGUCGGAUGUGAAAUCCCCGGGCUCAACCUGGGAACUGCAUUCGAAACUGGCAGGCUAGAGUCUUGUAGAGGGGGGUAGGAUUCCAGGUGUAGCGGUGAAAUGCGUAGAGAUCUGGAGGAAUACCGGUGGCGAAGGCGGCCCCCUGGACAAAGACUGACGCUCAGGUGCGAAAGCGUGGGGAGCAAACGGGAUUAGAUACCCGGGUAGUC
This 465-nucleotide ribosomal RNA is filed under the name uncultured Klebsiella sp. RNAcentral describes it as "bacterial SSU rRNA". It matches the Rfam family "Bacterial small subunit ribosomal RNA", at positions 338 to 795 of the family's 1533-position model. The record is from RNAcentral. Lineage: Bacteria; Pseudomonadati; Pseudomonadota; Gammaproteobacteria; Enterobacterales; Enterobacteriaceae.